RNAcentral lists this ribosomal RNA (556 nucleotides) under Attheya sp. RCC5544. RNAcentral describes it as "SSU rRNA". It matches the Rfam family "Eukaryotic small subunit ribosomal RNA", at positions 641 to 1202 of the family's 1831-position model. Lineage: Eukaryota; Bacillariophyta; Biddulphiophyceae; Attheyales; Attheyaceae. The record is from RNAcentral.
CUGGCGGGAGCGGGUGGUCCGGCACUUUGUGUUGGUACUUUCCUGUCUCUUGCCAUCCUUGGGUCUAAGCUGUCUGGCAUUUAGUUGUCGGGCAGUGGCUGCCCAUCGUUUACUGUGAAAAAAUUAGAGUGUUCAAAGCAGGCUUAUGCCGUUGAAUAUAUUAGCAUGGAAUAAUAAGAUAGGACCUUGGUACUAUUUUGUUGGUUUGCGCACCGAGGUAAUGAUUAAGAGGGACAGUUGGGGGUAUUCGUAUUCAAUUGUCAGAGGUGAAAUUCUUGGAUUUCUGGAAGACGAACUACUGCGAAAGCAUUUACCAAGGAUGUUUUCAUUAAUCAAGAACGAAAGUUAGGGGAUCGAAGAUGAUUAGAUACCAUCGUAGUCUUAACCAUAAACUAUGCCGACUAGGGAUUUGUGGGUGUUAUUUUUGACCCCAUGAGCACCUUAUGAGAAAUCAAAGUCUUUGGGUUCCGGGGGGAGUAUGGUCGCAAGUCUGAAACUUAAAGAAAUUGACGGAAGGGCACCACCAGGAGUGGAGCCUGCGGCUUAAUUUGACUCA